Non-coding RNA from Odocoileus virginianus texanus, 707 nucleotides. Lineage: Eukaryota; Metazoa; Chordata; Mammalia; Artiodactyla; Cervidae. The record is from RefSeq and is a predicted model, not a curated record.
AAACUCACCGCUCUUGUAUUGGCAGAUGGAUUCUUUACCACUGAGCCACUUGAGAAGCCCUACUAACCUGAGUACUUCUAUUGCCGAGGAAUAUAUCAAUAUAAAAAUUCCAUAAGCCAGUGACUAGUGGGCUUCACAAUCUGAAUUUCAACAACCUUAUUGAAAUAGCUCCGUGUAAGCAGAGAUAUCCCACAUUAUAAAGUGUGACACCUGACAUUGAAGGAAACCAAGUAUGAAGCUAAUAUAUCUGGGAUGAAGCUCACACUGAAUUGGAAAAGAGGACAGGAUACCAAACUGGUAGGAAAUUUUGGAUCACGUGCUCUGACUCAUGGUUCCGAAUAAAGAGAAAAUGGGCAGAGCAAAGGGGCAAAUAAAGAAAGGAUCUCUUUGCUCCCAACUGUGCUUCCAUCCUCUGAAGCCUGUUGAUGAAGCCCUGGAGACAUCAUUAAUUUCUCUCGCUGCCUUCCUUAAGCCUGAGUGGCCAGCCAUGAAAAGAUGGGGCUGGCCCUCUGCUGCUGAGGAUGACUCUAGUGCUCAUCCUGGCCCGGAAGAAACUGAAAGUGAAGUUAAUACCCAAAGAAUAAGUGAAUGCUGGCUGCCGUGGGAAAACAUUCCAGCAGAGUGGCCAGUAGGAUGGCUGAAAUAAUUGUGGACCCAGACCAUCUGCGGCUGCCUUUUCCAGCACCUUCCUGUGGACAGCUCCAGGG